GACGAACGCUGGCGGUGUGCUUAACACAUGCAAGUCGAAUGGUAAGGCCCUUUCGGGGGUACACGAGUGGCGAACGGGUGAGUAACACGUGAGUAACCUGCCCUCAUCUCUGGGAUAACAGUCGGAAACGGUUGCUAAUACUGGAUAUGAGCUUGCAAGGCAUCUUGUGGGUUGGAAAGAUUUUUUUGGUUGGGGAUGGACUCGCGGCCUAUCAGCUUGUUGGUGAGGUAGUGGCUCACCAAGGCUUCGACGGGUAGCCGGCCUGAGAGGGCGACCGGCCACAUUGGGACUGAGAUACGGCCCAAACUCCUACGGGAGGCAGCAGUGGGGAAUAUUGCACAAUGGACGGAAGUCUGAUGCAGCAACGCCGCGUGCGGGAUGACGGCCUUCGGGUUGUAAACCGCUUUCAAUUGUGACGAAGCUUUUUGUGACGGUAGCAGUAGAAGAAGCACCGGCUAACUACGUG
RNAcentral lists this ribosomal RNA (466 nucleotides) under uncultured bacterium. RNAcentral describes it as "partial 16S ribosomal RNA". It matches the Rfam family "Bacterial small subunit ribosomal RNA", at positions 28 to 507 of the family's 1533-position model. The record is from RNAcentral.